RNAcentral lists this long non-coding RNA (1514 nucleotides) under Salmo salar (Atlantic salmon). Its description in RNAcentral is "lncRNA (ENSSSAG00000104961.1, ENSSSAG00000111777.1)". The record is from RNAcentral. Lineage: Eukaryota; Metazoa; Chordata; Actinopteri; Salmoniformes; Salmonidae.
UGGGUGAUGUAAUAAUAAACUGGUCACAGUCACUAUCAGAAUGGGUGAUGUAAUAAUAAACUGGUCACAGUCACUAUCAGAAUGGGUGAUGUUAUAAUAAACUGGUCACAGUCAGUAUCAGAAUGGGUGAUGUAAUAAUAAACUGGUCACAGUCACUAUCAGAAUGGGUGAUGUAAUAAUAAACUGGUCACAGUCAGUAUCAGAAUGGGUGAUGUAAUAAUAAACUGGUCACAGUCAGUAUCAGAAUGGGUGAUGUAAUAAUAAACUGGUCACAGUCACUAUCAGAAUGGGUGAUGUAAUAAUAAACUGGUCACAGUCACUAUCAGAAUGGGUGAUGUAAUAAUAAACUGGUCACAGUCACUAUCAGAAUGGGUGAUGUAAUAAUAAACUGGUCACAGUCAGUUUCAGAAUGGGUGAUGUAAUAAUAAACUGGUCACAGUCACUAUCAGAAUGGGUGAUGUAAUAAUAAACUGGUCACAGUCAGUAUCAGAAUGGGUGAUGUAAUAAUAAACUGGUCACAGUCACUAUCAGAAUGGGUGAUGUUAUAAUAAACUGGUCACAGUCAGUAUCAGAAUGGGUGAUGUAAUAAUAAACUGGUCACAGUCAGUUUCACAAUGGGUGAUGUAAUAAUAAACUGGUCACAGUCAGUAUCAGAAUGGGUGAUGUAAUAAUAAACUGGUCACAGUCAGUUUCAGAAUGGGUGAUGUAAUAAUAAACUGGUCACAGUCAGUAUCAGAAUGGGUGAUGUAAUAAUAAACUGGUCACAGUCACUAUCAGAAUGGGUGAUGUAAUAAUAAACUGGUCACAGUCAGUAUCAGAAUGGGUGAUGUAAUAAUAAACUGGUCACAGUCAGUAUCAGAAUGGGUGAUGUUAUAAUAAACUGGUCACAGUCAGUAUCAGAAUGGGUGACGUAAUAAUAAACUGGUCUUGAAUAUAUCUAAAACUAAAAGCAUUGUAUUUGGUUCUAAACAUUCUCUAAGACCUUAACUGGUGUGGUGUAUAAAGGGUGUGAGCAUUGAGAAAGCUGAGGAAGCUAAACUCCUAGGUAUAACAUUGGAUGGUCAAUUAUCAUGGUCAAGUCAUAUUGAUUAAGCUGUUGUGAAGAUGGGGUGAAGUUAUCAUGGUCAAAUCAUAUUGACUAAGUCGUUGUUUAGAUGGGGUGAAGUUAUCAUGGUCAAAUCAUAUUGACUAAGCUGUUGUGAAGAUGGGGUGAAGUUAUCAUGGUCAAAUCAUAUUGACUAAGUUGUUGUUUAGAUGGGGUGAAGUUAUCAUGGUCAAGUCAUAUUGACUGUUUUGUUGUGAAGAUGGGGUGAAGUUAUCAUGGUCAAGUCAUAUUGACUAAGUUGUUGUGAAGAUGGGGAGGGGUGUGUCUGUGUUUUUGACACAAAGAUCAACUGUACUAGUUGUUCAGACUCUGGUCUUGUCCCAUCUUGAUUACUGUCUGUUUAUAUGGUCAGGUGCAGAAAAGAAAGACAGAGCAAAGCUGGCUCAAAACAGAGCAGCACGCCUUGCCC